ACGAGGAUUUGUCACCGUGCCACAGGGCUGGCACAGGAUUCCAGCACAGCAUGGAAUGUUUCCACUGGGUUCCACAUCCAGGACAGGAUUCAGGGCCACCUUUGGGGUCCUGCCAUCACCUCUCGGGUGGCCAUGCCAUCCUGCAUGUCCCCUCCCACCCAAACCUGCUCACCCUCCCUUUUUGGGGCCAAAACCCCAGUGUGGAGGAUGAGAUUUCCAUUUUGCUUUUUGAUUUUUUUGGCUUUGGUUUCGUGGCUGCUCUUUGCUUCGGGCCCUUGGUUGGGGUGUUGGGCUGGGGUCGAUGUAGCUCUUCCCUUUGUUUCUCUCCCUUUUUUUGGUUUCUUUGAUGUCCAAGGAUAAAAUCCCAUCUCUGGGUGGUGUUCCCGGGGUGAGGUUGGCAUCCUGGGUGUCCCCGUUGUCCCCUCCCCGUGCUCGGGGGGUGACUCCAGGUGGGAGCAGAGCGAGCCCCCGGCCCGGUUUUGUCCUUGGUGGUUCUUGUGGAGCAGUGUCCAUGCGGGAGCAGAGCUGUCCUCGUGCAGUCAGUGUGUGAAAGGGGGUGAAAGGCCAGGGUGGGACCCCCAGAGACACCUGGAGCCCCCAGAGCUCCCUGGUCCCACCCCAGCGGGAGGGGGGAGGGCUCAGGUUUAUUUUGGGUGGGGGGGCAAGUCUAGAAGAAAAGCCCCUGAUUUUUUUUUUAAAAAAAAUUUAUUUAAUUUUUACUUAAAUUCUCUGAUUGGAAAUGCCAAUUUGAACCAUCUAUUGAGAUGUUCAGUGCAGGAAGCAGCGCCCCUGGGGCUGGGGCUGCUUCCCUGGGACCCCCAGAGCGGAGCUGGGGUUUCUCUCUGCCCCCCAUUUCCCUCCCCAGCCCCUUCCCAGGGCAGGGAUGAGCUUGGAAAGGGCUGAUUUUCUUCUUGGCUCUGAGAAUCCCGACCAAAACCCCUGGAUUUGGGGUCUGGGGAGUUUGGGGUCACCACAGAGGCUUUUGGGGGGGGGUUCACUCUUCCUCCUGCUCUUCCUCCUGCUCUUCCUCCUGCCUCUUCACUUCACUUCACUUCCAAGACAAAACCAAACACCUUCCCCAGCUCAGCCCCCCCAAACUGGGCACCCCCAGGAUGGGGCUGCACCCCCCUGGCAUCCUUAGGGCACUGCCAGCCCCUUGGCAUGAGCUGUUCUGGGAUGCCACCACGUGCCAGUCUGGGCACAAGGGGGUGGCAGGAGAUGCCCUUGGGCCUGGAACCCCGUGGAUUUGGGGUCAUCUGGAGAAGAGGAACCCUUGGAGAAGUGGUAACUUCACCUGGGAGGUCUCCUCAUGGAUUUUGGGAGGUGUAACCUUGCCUGGGAGGUCUC
RNAcentral lists this long non-coding RNA (1347 nucleotides) under Zonotrichia albicollis (white-throated sparrow). Its description in RNAcentral is "lncRNA (ENSZALG00000004338.1)". Lineage: Eukaryota; Metazoa; Chordata; Aves; Passeriformes; Passerellidae. The record is from RNAcentral.